GGGCUUGUAGCUCAGCGGAUAGAGCGUCUGCCUCCGGAGCAGAAGGCCGUGGGUUCGAAUCCCAUCAAGCCCACAA
Molecule: transfer RNA, 76 nt
Filed under: Gardnerella vaginalis
Lineage: Bacteria; Bacillati; Actinomycetota; Actinomycetes; Bifidobacteriales; Bifidobacteriaceae
Description: tRNA-Arg
Rfam family: tRNA
About the family: Transfer RNA (tRNA) molecules are approximately 80 nucleotides in length. Their secondary structure includes four short double-helical elements and three loops (D, anti-codon, and T loops).
Source: RNAcentral